CCAACGGCUCUUUUAAGAGCCUCCCAAAGUUUCUCAAAAAGAGCUG
This is a non-coding RNA of Meleagris gallopavo (turkey), 46 nucleotides long. The record is from Rfam. Lineage: Eukaryota; Metazoa; Chordata; Aves; Galliformes; Phasianidae.